GAUGAAGAACGUAGCGAAAUGCGAUAAGUAAUGUGAAUUGCAGAAUUCAGUGAAUCAUCGAAUCUUUGAACGCACAUGGCGCCCGCCAGUAUUCUGGCGGGCAUGCCUGUCUGAGCGUCAUUUCAACCCUCAUGCCCCUAGGGCGUGGUGUUGGGGAUCGGCCAAAGCCCGCGAGGGACGGCCGGCCCCUAAAUCUAGUGGCGGACCCGUCGUGGCCUCCUCUGCGAAGUAGUGAUAUUCCGCAUCGGAGAGCGACGAGCCCCUGCCGUUAAACCCCCAACUUUCCAAGGUUGACCUCAGAUCAGGUAGGAAUACCCGCUGAACUUAAGCAUAUCAAUAAGCGGAGGA
Molecule: unclassified non-coding RNA, 348 nt
Filed under: soil metagenome
Description: partial contains 5.8S ribosomal RNA, internal transcribed spacer 2, and large subunit ribosomal RNA
Rfam family: 5.8S ribosomal RNA (bases 1-120)
Source: RNAcentral